GACAGAGGGUGCAAACGUUGUUCGGAAUUACUGGGCGUAAAGCGUGUGUAGGCGGCUUUGCAAGUCGGAUGUGAAAGCCCCGGGCUCAACCCGGGAAGUGCACUCGAUACUGCAGAGCUUGAGUGUCGGAGAGGUUGGUGGAAUUCUCGGUGUAGAGGUGAAAUUCGUAGAUAUCGAGAGGAACACCGGUGGCGAAGGCGGCCAACUGGACGAAUACUGACGCUGAGACACGAAAGCGUGGGGAGCAAACAGG
This 253-nucleotide ribosomal RNA is filed under the name uncultured bacterium. RNAcentral's name for it is "partial 16S ribosomal RNA". It matches the Rfam family "Bacterial small subunit ribosomal RNA", at positions 524 to 776 of the family's 1533-position model. The record is from RNAcentral.